Molecule: long non-coding RNA, 1015 nt
Organism: Sinocyclocheilus anshuiensis
Lineage: Eukaryota; Metazoa; Chordata; Actinopteri; Cypriniformes; Cyprinidae
Exons: 4
Source: RefSeq, a predicted model, not a curated record
AGUAGCUAAUGAGAGAGUGCACAUGUGUUUAUAUCUUAUACUGUGAAUAUAAUGAUCACUUACCUCAAUACAAUGAUGUUCUUCUUCAACAGCUGAUGGACGUUUAGUAGACUGCUGUGAUACUGUGACAAACACCAGAAUACCAGUUGAAAAAAUUUUGCAUUAUGACAUGCAAGAAACAAAUCUAUGUCCUGCCAGAGCUAUUUCACACCAAGAAAAACAUAACUAUUUGUUCAGAUCCAGACAGCAUCUGGGCUAAAAAAGCAAAGGCGAUAGUGGAUGGGAGAACAACGAUCAAAACAUCUGGACCGGAGACAGAGAUCAACAAAACAACCAUACAACCAACUUCAGUGUCCAGAGACAGCCCAGAAUCUUCUCUGAGUACUGUGACAUUCACAUCAUCUACAACCAAGGACUGCUGCUUAGCAGUAACAAAAAACAAAACAGCAUUUCAUGAAAUUGUGGACUACAGAGUUCAAGAAACACCACUUUGCUCUAUCAGAGCUGUGCUAUUCAUAACUGUGGGGAGGAACAAAAUUUGCUCUUCUCCAGUAGAAGACUGGGUCCAGGAUUACAUACAGAACUUGAACAGAAGGAAAAAAAAAACAAUAGACAAGAGAGAGUUUGCCAUCAAAAUAAUAAAAGACUCCAACACCAAUAAUUACUUCUGUCUAAAGAAGGAACAAUCUAAAUACUUUUGCUUCAAACAGCCUUAAAACAUCUGUUGGAAAAGCUUGGCCAACUUUUUAUGCCUGUAUACUGAUAAUACCAGGAUAACUAAACAACUUCUAAGUCUAAUAAACGAAUAAGGUGAUGCUAGUGAAAAAUCAGCACUGUGGUUUCAAUCACAUUGUCAUAUUUGUAUUCAUGUUUUGUGCGAUGACUUCUAUUUUGUGUAUUGCCUUUUCUUAAUUUACUUAAUUUAAAAUCAAUGUAAGUAUCCAAAAAUAAUUUAACUAGUAACACAAAAUCUUAGGCUGAUGAUACAAGGGCCAACUUUUUUUGAGCAAUGUUG